Molecule: ribosomal RNA, 686 nt
Filed under: uncultured Mycobacterium sp.
Lineage: Bacteria; Bacillati; Actinomycetota; Actinomycetes; Mycobacteriales; Mycobacteriaceae
Description: bacterial SSU rRNA
Rfam family: Bacterial small subunit ribosomal RNA
Source: RNAcentral
GCACUCCGGGAUAAGCUUGGGAAACUGGGUCUAAUACCGGAUAUGACCUCGGGACGCAUGUCCCUUGGUGGAAAGCUUUUGCGGUGUGGGAUGGGCCCGCGGCCUAUCAGCUUGUUGGUGGGGUGAUGGCCUACCAAGGCGACGACGGGUAGCCGGCCUGAGAGGGUGUCGGGCCACACUGGGACUGAGAUACGGCCCAGACUCCUACGGGAGGCAGCAGUGGGGAAUAUUGCACAAUGGGCGCAAGCCUGAUGCAGCGACGCCGCGUGAGGGAUGACGGCCUUCGGGUUGUAAACCUCUUUCAGUGCCGACGAAGCGUAAGUGACGGUAGGCAUAGAAGAAGCACCGGCCAACUACGUGCCAGCAGCCGCGGUAAUACGUAGGGUGCGAGCGUUGUCCGGAAUUACUGGGCGUAAAGAGCUCGUAGGUGGUUUGUCGCGUUGUUCGUGAAAACUCACAGCUCAACUGUGGGCGUGCGGGCGAUACGGGCAGACUGGAGUACUGCAGGGGAGACUGGAAUUCCUGGUGUAGCGGUGGAAUGCGCAGAUAUCAGGAGGAACACCAGUGGCGAAGGCGGGUCUCUGGGCAGUAACUGACGCUGAGGAGCGAAAGCGUGGGGAGCGAACAGGAUUAGAUACCCUGGUAGUCCACGCCGUAAACGGUGGGUACUAGGUGUGGGUUUCCUU